CAGAAGUGGCUCGGAGAACACAUGUUUGUUAUUUUUGUAGCUAAGUACAGUAUAGGCGCAGUUACGUUCCAUAUGCGAACACACGCCGUUUCCCUUUUCACAACACUGAUCAACUCGUUGUUAGCUGGCAUCACUACCUACCUCGAUGACUGUAGGCAAAGAAAUCUCCUAUUCCAUCGCUAUGGCAGCGAACAUUUCGCCACCAAAUCCCAUGGUUCUCACAGGGGACUGGAAUACUAAUUGGGACAACUCCAAGGAUGAAUUCGAGGACAAUGCGCUGGCGAGUGGGGAAAAAUACAUUUGGCACAAAUUACCUUCAUAAUAUCAAAGAACAAAUGCAUGUGCCUGAUGGGAAAUUAACUUUCAUAUCGCCAAAAGGGGGGACAGCAGAGGAACUUCAUCGAUUCCACUCCAUCAAUACAAGCAGUGAACAUCUGAAAUUCACCCUCAGCUUUGAUGCGCAUGAAACAAGUUAUCUGGACAUUUUGAUUAAGAGGGAGGGGUGUGGCUUUAGCACAGACCUAUACAGGAAGCCGAUGGAGAGGAAUUCCCUGUUACGCGGAGACACCCUACACCCCUAAAAAACAAUUGUAAUACUUGAGUAAAGAAAACAUUUAAAAUGUAAA
Oncorhynchus kisutch (coho salmon) is the source of this 626-nucleotide long non-coding RNA. RefSeq lists it as uncharacterized. The record is from RefSeq and is a predicted model, not a curated record. NCBI's taxonomy places the organism in Eukaryota, Metazoa, Chordata, Actinopteri, Salmoniformes, Salmonidae. The transcript is spliced from 2 exons.